AACAUAGAAAUUGCAUUCAAUUAACGUAUAUGUUAGUAAAGAUAAAACUUGAUAGAUCUUUUCCCUUUGCAAUAAAUACUGCAUAAAAUGGAUGCCUUUAGGCGACUUGAAUAAAAUCUGGCACCCGGGAAAGAAUGGAUAUUGUACUUGUUGGAAUUUUAAAAGUAUAUUAUGACAGGUUGACGGUGACGGAACAAUUGCAGAUUUCCGUACUUCCCGGCCCAAUUCGGCUAACAAAAUAUGUCAACGUUCCGUCUCGUUUCUUCUCAUGUAUAUCUAAUGCGCACAUCUCUUUCUCUGUCUAUACGACGAAACGUUGCAUUUGAAUUUGGAACGUUAGAAUAGAAAGAGGUAGCACAGCUAGUGACUGAAAAAAAAAAAAUGUAGGUAUCUGACAGCUGAAUGGUUCGGAAUUUAAAAAUUUGAGAAAAUCCUUUCACGACCAGUUUUCAAUAGUUCUGAACUCGUUUUGAACGUACAUUACGUCUAGCGUCGGCGCAUUUUGUGUUUUUUUUCUAUUCCGACUAUAAAUUAUCGUUUUACGGUUUUGUGCCAGCGAAGUUAAUAUGUAUUUGAACAACAGCGCAUUAUGCAGAGGCGGAAAAAGAUGCUCCUGGAGCGACGCAGUGGAGACUGAUCUGUGUGGAUUGGGAGCUGUCAGCUGGCGAACUAUAGAGCGCAGAACAGAAGACUAGGCACUCUCUCGUUUGGGAGACCCGGCUCCGCUCGGGGGUCACUGAGCCGGCAGUAAGUACAUUUGAUUUUUAAAAGACAAACAUUUUUUAAAUAUAUUUUAGAUUCAAGAUUGAUUUAUUACAUUUAUUGAAAUAAAAUUAUUUUCGUCGUCCAUACAAAUAACUAAUUA
Plodia interpunctella (Indianmeal moth) is the source of this 865-nucleotide long non-coding RNA. RefSeq lists it as uncharacterized. The record is from RefSeq and is a predicted model, not a curated record. NCBI's taxonomy places the organism in Eukaryota, Metazoa, Arthropoda, Insecta, Lepidoptera, Pyralidae. The transcript is spliced from 3 exons.